Molecule: ribosomal RNA, 254 nt
Filed under: uncultured bacterium
Lineage: Bacteria
Description: partial 16S ribosomal RNA
Rfam family: Bacterial small subunit ribosomal RNA
Source: RNAcentral
UACGUAGGGCGCAAGCGUUGUCCGGAAUUAUUGGGCGUAAAGAGCUCGUAGGUGGUUUGUUACGUCUGCUGUGAAAACCUAGGGCUUAACCCUGGGCCUGCAGUGGAUACGGGCAGACUAGAGGUAGGUAGGGGAGAAUGGAAUUCCCGGUGUAGCGGUGAAAUGCGCAGAUAUCGGGAGGAACACCGGUGGCGAAGGCGGUUCUCUGGGCCUUACCUGACACUGAGGAGCGAAAGCGUGGGGGAGCGAACAGG